Long non-coding RNA from Drosophila erecta, 364 nucleotides. RefSeq lists it as uncharacterized. The record is from RefSeq and is a predicted model, not a curated record. The transcript has 2 exons. Lineage: Eukaryota; Metazoa; Arthropoda; Insecta; Diptera; Drosophilidae.
UCCCGAAUUUAUCGUCGCCUAUCGAUAUGGACAGGUCAUACUAACUGGCAUUUUUUUUACUUUUAGUUGUUUUUUACAAUAAAUAUUUCUUAAAGCCAAAAACAUUCGUUGUGUCUAGCUAUUUUUAUUGAUAAUUCAUUUAAAAUAUUUGUAGUAAAAGUUAAAAAUGCAACAAUGCACAUAAAACAGAAACUAAUAACAGUUGACUAGUAUUCCAAGUCAUUUCAUUAGACUUACAGGUAUCUAGCGGCCUCCAAGACUGGACUUUUCAGUUUUUGUGCAGGGGGAUAACAUAACGAUCGCGCAGAUAAAGCAACUUUUCAAAAAACACAAACGUCAAUGUGGUGUGAGGAGCACUACGAAA